Molecule: ribosomal RNA, 434 nt
Filed under: uncultured bacterium
Lineage: Bacteria
Description: partial 16S ribosomal RNA
Rfam family: Bacterial small subunit ribosomal RNA
Source: RNAcentral
GAUGAACGCUGGCGGUAUGCUUAACACAUGCAAGUCGAACGGACUCUUCGGAGUUAGUGGCGGACGGGUGAGUAACGCGUGAGAAUCUGGCUUUGGGUUCGGGACAACCACUGGAAACGGUGGCUAAUACCGGAUGUGCCGAGAGGUAAAAGAGAAAUUGCCUGAAGAUGAGCUCGCGUCUGAUUAGCUAGUUGGUGAGGUAAAGGCUCACCAAGGCAGCGAUCAGUAGCUGGUCUGAGAGGAUGACCAGCCACACUGGGACUGAGACACGGCCCAGACUCCUACGGGAGGCAGCAGGGGGGAAUUUUCCGCAAUGGGCGAAAGCCUGACGGAGCAAUACCGCGUGAGGGAAGAAGGCUCUUGGGUUGUAAACCUCUUUUCUUAGGGAAGAACAAAAUGACGGUACCUAAGGAAUCAGCAUCGGCUAACUCCGU